CAAUAGUUCGAGCCAAUCCCAUAUCGUCCUCAUUAAUUUCAAGAAAUUAGUAAAUUUCUUCUAACGAACACCCUUUUUAUAUAGUAAUCGAUAAACCUACGAUCGUUAUGGGUCCGUGAUUGCGAGUCGAAACAUUCUCGCGUUUAAAAAUUAUUCACAAAUUGUGAUAUUGACCAUCCUCUGACGGAAAAUUGGUUAUGUUGUACUUGGCGAAUUAAUAACUAGAGAACCGAGACGUAAUAAACAAAGAAGAAGAAAGGGACGAUUGUUAUUGAAAAGUUGUUAAAUAAAACUUUUAUUACAUCGGAAGUAUUUACUAUCAUAAACGCCAGUUGGUACUUAUUAAUGGGCUAACCUAAAUAUCAAUCGCUCUCAACUCUCAAACAAAUAAAUUACUGUGCUCUAUUUGUCAACCCAACAUAAUGAUAAAAGAAAUCGUGCAAGGAAAUACACAACAAAAUUAUUUAUGAUGCUGAAAUAGAAGAGAUAGGAUAUCUAAAGAAAGAUCCUAAAUUUUCAUCAUCAGUUUUAUGUACGUAUAAUGGUCUAAAUUUUUAUAUCUUUACAUCAUGACUUAAUAAGCAAUAGUUGAAAAUAUAAGUAAUAAUUUAAUUAUUAUUUAUAAUUAAGUAUAAUUGUAAGUAUUAUUGUUUAUUACUACUAUAACCAUUAAAAAAAUAUUAAAUUAACUAUAUUUUUAUUUUUCAGAUUAUCGAUAACGUGAUUCCACAAUGAUAUAUACGAAAUGAAUUUGAUUACAGUCGAAUAGAAUUGAUAUUUUCUCCAUAAAUUUAUACACUUGUUUUUCCAUGAAGCAGUAUUCUUUUACCGAAACUUCCUUUAAUAGUUUGCUGUCAGAAUAUAUUUUUCUUUCUUCUGUGAACGCUUUCUAUUUCAAAUUAUCUUAUCUUAUUUUUACAGUAUUGGUAUCUCUUUCACUUUUUAACGAUGUAUCGAUUAAUAAUAUGCCAUUAAUUGUACUUCAUAUAUCGUAUUUCAUAUUACAUUCGAUUUUUGAUACACACACAUCUAUGCGUAGCUCCCCUAUAUGGUUAUCCUAUCUAAGCUUAUUGCCUAUAUAAACAGACAAUUAAUUUUAUGUCCUACUAAUACAAUCUUAAAUUUUUUAGGCUUCCAAAAAUUGAACAUGCUGGAAGAGAAUUGUAAACAUACAGAGAAGACAGUUAUACAUAGAUAUACAUAUGUAGCAGUUUUACAUCGCAUCAAACUUAUUCGUAGACAGAAAACUGCCCUAGGAUAUCGAUAUGCAGAGAAUUACUUUAUGUUUUAAUAUUAUAGUCUUAUAUUUUAUAGUUAUAUUUUAAUAUUAUAGUCUUUGAUGAUAUAUGAAACAGCAGGUAUAUAUUUGUGGUCAUAAGAUUCGUCAAUAUCAAAAAAAUUAUUAUUCCGAAGCUCUGGGAAAAGUUUAAAGAACCGUACUAAAGCGUUAUGAAUGUCUCUUGCAACUUUAGUUUCAUUAUUAGCAUAGCUUUUAUCAUUCCUACUGAAGUUAUAUCCAAUACCAAUUGGAUUAUCAAUGUACAUUAAGUUACGAAAAAAAUUUAAGAAAUGUAAUACUUACACGAUGCAAGCGUUGUUAGAAUGAUUCGUUGUCCAAAUAAAACACGUCCAGACAGCUGCUUGGAGGAACGAAUACUGCGUACUAACAACGCGUAAGUAAGGACGACGAAUGGGGAAAAGUCGUGCUAAGGACGAUUUCUCCGAUCGUCCCUUUAUUUUUAUUUGGAUUGUUUACAAAUACUUUUCCCUACAAGCUUCCCAAAUUCUCCGAAUUGUACGACGUAUAUGUACAUAGAUAUAUAUACACGUAGUAAUAACAAUUUAUCACGCUCAACUAGUGUUUUUUUUUUUUUUCGUUGCUUGCCGUAAACAAAAGGUAUAGGAACCUUUAAGCUUAAUUAUCCAUAUACUAAUGUUAUCUUUCUCUUUCUAUUAAGAUGGUAUGUAUUUACAAAGGAACAAACUUACGUGUGUGUAAGCAACGAGACUGCUAUAACGACAAUUUAAAUGUUUAAAAUUAACCUUAACCUUUAUUUUUAUGCAUGAAUUAUUAUCGAGAAAAUAUCAUUUUUUUCAAAGAAAACUAACCAAACGUAUUCGUGAGUUCGGAAGAAUCGUAUUCUCACUCGAAUCUUUAUCUUUAAAACGAUCUCGUUCGUCAAAAUCGUUAAAAAAUUAUACUUGUACUUAUCGUUGGGCCUAAACCAUCAUAAAACAACGAGCGAUGGACAGCCCUAAUCUUAAAUAAUUUAUAAUUUCGAUUACUUUACAUUCGUUUAGACACUGCAGAGUGUAUAAGGAGUAUAUCUAAUCAUUGAACAAUAGUAUAUAAAAUAGCGAGAUACUCGUUACACGCGGUUUAGUAAGAAAUUUCAUACAUGUUCUUUCAUAGACCUCUUCCUCGUCACGUUUUAUGGCUUUUUAUAUUGAUUUCUCUUUACUUGGUACAAAUUUAAUAUCGUUCUUCCUUUGAACUUGUUCCUCUCUUAUUAACACUUUUUAUGCCGUUAAGUAUUUCAUUAAAAUAACCUUGACUUAAAAUUCCAAUAAUUUAUAAUUCUCGAUCUCGCGGUUUUCGUCUACGCGUACUGUCAACAAAAACGGACUUUUGAACGAAUCGGAUGGUUACUCUCUCUUUCUAAAAGCAGAAACUUCAAAAUUAAUACUUUCCGCGUACUAACAUCGAAAAUGAUAUACAUUUAUGUGAAAAAUAAUCGUACGCGGGCGCACGAACAUUUUCCUUACAAAUAUAUUUUCACGUUUACGAGCUUUAUUUCUACAGAUAUCAAAUCGAAAUGAUUAAUUUUCACAGUUUGAUGCAGCACGAUAUCCGUUUAGAUAGUUUUUAAUUUCGUAUAUCAUAUUUUUAACGUUUCCAUAUUAUUAUACAAACAGAUCGAAACAACAAACACGUGGGGAAGCCAUUGUACAGAUGACGUAACGCGUACGCGGGACGGUCCAUAGCUUUCUUCCUGCCGCUUAAUCCGCCAUUCGGAAUUAGUUCGUGGCACGCGUCGCAACCGAGCUUCGUCCUCUCGUUGAUUGCAGUUAAUUAGAAUAUUUUAUUUAACGUACGCUCUAAUUUUAUAUAUCGAUCGAACGUCGAAAACGCGAUUUUCACGGGUGAAUUUAUCAACAUCGAUCACGCUCAACUACGAAAUAUAUUCUACUGCGUUCCUUAACCUAACAACCAUACAAGCCAUCGUUAUUUUCGAUGAUAGAAUGCGAGAGGUACGACGUCUGGAUUUUCGUCAUCAAUUUUACUUAUUUACAAUAAUAAAUGAUGUUCGACAUAUAACGACGACUGAUCGAAACAACAAGCACGUGGGGAAGCCAUUGAAAAGAUGACGUAACGCGUACGCGCGACGGUCCAUAGCUUCCUUCCUGCCGCCUAAUCCGCCAUUCCAAAUCGUUUCGUGGCACGCGUCGCAACAGAGCUUCGUCCGUUCGUUAAUUGCAGUUAAUUAGAAUAGUUUAUUCAACGUGUACCAUUAUUUUACAUACCGAUCGAACGUCGAAAAAGCGAUAUCCGCGGAAUGGGAGAGGUACGACGUCUGGAUUUUCGUCUUCAAUUUUACUUAUUUACAAUGAGAAAUGGUGUUGGACACACGACGACGAGUGAUCGAAACAACAAGCACGCGGGGAAGCCAUUGCAAAGCUGACGUAACGCGCAUGCUCGACGAUACAGCUUCCUUGUUGCCGCUUAAUCCGCCAUUCUGAAUCAGUUCGUGGCACGUGUCCCAACCAAGCUUCGUCCUCUCGUUAAUUGCAGGAUGGAAGAGGUACGAUGUUCGGAUUAUCAAUUUUACUUACGUACGAUAAGAAGUGAUAUUCGAUACAGGACGACGAGUGGGCGUAGAUUCUGUAAAUUUGUUCGUCAGCGUUAACAACACAGUGUGGCCCAUGUUCCUAGAAAGAAGCAAGAUUGAUUUGGCUAGAGUUCAACAAAGUAGACGUCUUCCGUUUAAGUUUAUACAUUCAUUCUUCGAUUAAGCAGUGUUCUUUCAGCGAAACUUCUUUUAGUAAUUUGCCGUCAGAGUAUAUUUUUUGUUCGAUUGUACAUUUUUUGGGAAGUGCGUUUUAUAUACGUGGAAUAGUUGAUAAUUCGGAAUUCAUUCAAAUUGAUUAACGUUGAUGUAACAUUAUUUCUUUAAUUUUACAUUAGUGGAUUUUACAUGGAUUCUUUCAACCUUCAUCGUCGUCAUGUGAUUAAUAAUCGACAUCAUCAGGAUAGGGAGGAGUUGUGCACGGUCGUCACCGCGCAGUUGAAUCUUUCUAGACGCAACCCACUUUUUAUCGAGCACUUGUUUAUGGUCGAGAUUUGUCUCGUACCAUUUUCUGUGCAUUUACGCUGGUUGCUCUGCCUUCGUCCAGCAUUAUAAAAUAACCGAGGACAUUCUACUCUCCUCCUUAUUUUUUAGACCUGCUUCAGAUGUCGUUAAUUGAUCUCACGUCGAGGACGAUCGAUGGGAAAAUCUAUGUACGCGAACGCGCUUAAUCUACAUUAUUUUAACGAGUCGUCGUCCGUCUUGGAAUAUCACUGCGAAAUAAAAAUUGUAGACUUUUCGUUGAUAGUACAUGAGAGAACGAAUACUGCUUAAAUCACGGAGUGGAUGUAUCAUUCGACGGGUCGUUUCCUGAUUGCUGUAAUGCGGUUGACAGUUCUUUAGCCAUCGAAAUGUUACAAGCACGUGGGGAAGCCAUUGCAAAGGUGACGUAAUGCGCAAGCGCAGCGGUCCACAGCCUCCUUGCUGCCUCAGAAUCCACCAUUUUGAAUAAUGAUUGGCACGUGUUAUGACCAAGCUUUUUUCUUGCAGGAUGGAAGAGGUACGAUGUUCGGAUUAUCAAUCUUACUUACGUACGAUAAGAAGUGAUAUUCGAUACAGGACGACGAGUGGGCGUAGAUUCUGUAAAUUUGUUCGUCAGCGUUAACAACACAGUGUGGCCCAUGUUCCUAGAAAGAAGCAAGAUUGAUUUGGCUAGAGUUCAACAAAGUAGACGUCUUCCGUUUAAGUUUAUACAUUCAUUCUUCGAUUAAGCAGUGUUCUUUCAGCGAAACUUCUUUUAGUAAUUUGCCGUCAGAGUAUAUUUUUUGUUCGAUUGUACAUUUUUUGGGAAGUGCGUUUUAUAUACGUGGAAUAGUUGAUAAUUCGGAAUUCAUUCAAAUUGAUUAACGUUGAUGUAACAUUAUUUCUUUAAUUUUACAUUAGUGAAUUUUAUAUGGAUUCUUUCAACCUUCAUCGUCGUCAUGUGAUUAAUAAUCGACAUCAUCAGGAUAGGGAGGAGUUGUGCACGGUCGUCACCGCGCAGUUGAAUCUUUCUAGACGCAACCCACUUUUUAUCGAGCACUUGUUUAUGGUCGAGAUUUGUCUCGUACCAUUUUCUGUGCAUUUACGCUGGUUGCUCUGCCUUCGUCCAGCAUUAUAAAAUAACCGAGGACAUUCUACUCUCCUCCUUAUUUUUUAGACCUGCUUCAGAUGUCGUUAAUUGAUCUCACGUCGAGGACGAUCGAUGGGAAAAUCUAUGUACGCGAACGCGCUUAAUCUACAUUAUUUUAACGAGUCGUCGUCCGUCUUGGAAUAUCACUGCGAAAUAAAAAUUGUAGACUUUUCAUUGAUAGUACAUGACAGAACGAAUACUGCUUAAAUCACGGAGUGGAUGUAUCAUUCGACGGAUCGUUUCCUGAUUGCUGUAAUGCGGUUGACAGUUCUUUAGCCCACGUGGGGAAGCCAUUGCAAAGGUGACGUAAUGCGCAAGCGCGGCGGUCCACAGCUCCCUUGCUGCCUUAGAAUCCACCAUUUUGAAUAAUUAUUGGCACGUGUUACGACCAAGCUUUUUUCUCACGUUGAUUGCAGAAUGGAAGAGGUAUGACGUCCAGAUUUUCGUCAUCAAUUUUACUUAUUUACAAUAAUAAAUGGUGUUCGACACACAACGACUGGAUGUAGACGUGAUUUCUUUCGUUAUUGUUGACAUUACAUCGUGGCUAGUUUUCUUAAAAAUAAGCAAGAUGAAUUUAGUUACAUUCGAACAGAAUUGACAUCUUGACAGUACGAACGCUACUUAAAUCGUGGAAGGAAGCGUUCCUUGAUCUAACAACCAGCUAAGGAAUCAUUAUUUUCGAUGAUAGAAAGAAAGAAGUAUGAAGUUCAAAAUUUUCGUCAUCAGUUUUACUUAUCUAUGAUAAGCAAUGGUAUUGGACACAGGACGACAACUGAUAAGCAAUAGUUGACAUAUAUUAUUAUUUAUUUUCACGUUACCCUUUACGAUAACGUUUAGCUAAUUCUACAUUUAUUUUUUCAGGGUAUAGGCAUUGCGAUUUCGUCCGUUAUUGUUAACAAUGCAUCGUGGCCCGUGUUCCUUGAAAUAAGCAUGGUGAAUUUAGUUACAGUCGAACAGAAUUGACAUCUGUUUACACAUUCAUUCUUCGAUUAAACAGUGUUCUAUUAACGAUACUUUUA
This is a long non-coding RNA of Vespula vulgaris, 6479 nucleotides long. RefSeq lists it as uncharacterized. NCBI's taxonomy places the organism in Eukaryota, Metazoa, Arthropoda, Insecta, Hymenoptera, Vespidae. The record is from RefSeq and is a predicted model, not a curated record. The transcript is spliced from 14 exons.